This 70-nucleotide transfer RNA is filed under the name Phytophthora infestans T30-4. RNAcentral's name for it is "tRNA-Ala for anticodon AGC". It matches the Rfam family "tRNA". From Rfam's summary of the family: Transfer RNA (tRNA) molecules are approximately 80 nucleotides in length. Their secondary structure includes four short double-helical elements and three loops (D, anti-codon, and T loops). Further hydrogen bonds mediate the characteristic L-shaped molecular structure. tRNAs have two regions of fundamental functional importance: the anti-codon, which is responsible for specific mRNA codon recognition, and the 3' end, to which the tRNAs corresponding amino acid is attached (by aminoacyl-tRNA synthetases). tRNAs cope with the degeneracy of the genetic code in two manners: having more than one tRNA (with a specific anti-codon) for a particular amino acid; and 'wobble' base-pairing, i.e. permitting non-standard base-pairing at the 3rd anti-codon position. The record is from Rfam by way of RNAcentral. Lineage: Eukaryota; Oomycota; Peronosporomycetes; Peronosporales; Peronosporaceae.
GGGCGCAGCGCAGUGGUAGCGCGUCCGCUUUGCAAGCGGAAGGCGCCGCGUUCAAUCCCCGGUGUGUCCA